This 483-nucleotide ribosomal RNA is filed under the name uncultured bacterium. RNAcentral's name for it is "partial 16S ribosomal RNA". It matches the Rfam family "Bacterial small subunit ribosomal RNA", at positions 30 to 507 of the family's 1533-position model. The record is from RNAcentral.
UUGAACGCUGGCGGCAGGCCUAACACAUGCAAGUCGAGCGGAUGAAGGGAGCUUGCUCCUGGAUUCAGCGGCGGACGGGUGAGUAAUGCCUAGGAAUUUGCCUGGUAGUGGGGGAUAACGUCCGGAAACGGGCGCUAAUACCGCAUACGUCCUGAGGGAGAAAGUGGGGGAUCUUCGGACCUCACGCUAUCAGAUGAGCCUAGGUCGGAUUAGCUAGUUGGUGGGGUAAAGGCCUACCAAGGCGACGAUCCGUAACUGGUCUGAGAGGAUGAUCAGUCACACUGGAACUGAGACACGGUCCAGACUCCUACGGGGGGCAGCAGUGGGGAAUAUUGGACAAUGGGCGAAAGCCUGAUCCAGCCAUGCCGCGUGUGUGAAGAAGGUCUUCGGAUUGUAAAGCACUUUAAGUUGGGAGGAAGGGCAGUAAGUUAAUACCUUGCUGUUUUGACGUUACCAACAGAAUAAGCACCGGCUAACUUCGUG